This 87-nucleotide transfer RNA is filed under the name Porticoccaceae bacterium UBA1117. RNAcentral's name for it is "tRNA-Leu(cag)". It matches the Rfam family "tRNA". From Rfam's summary of the family: Transfer RNA (tRNA) molecules are approximately 80 nucleotides in length. Their secondary structure includes four short double-helical elements and three loops (D, anti-codon, and T loops). Further hydrogen bonds mediate the characteristic L-shaped molecular structure. tRNAs have two regions of fundamental functional importance: the anti-codon, which is responsible for specific mRNA codon recognition, and the 3' end, to which the tRNAs corresponding amino acid is attached (by aminoacyl-tRNA synthetases). tRNAs cope with the degeneracy of the genetic code in two manners: having more than one tRNA (with a specific anti-codon) for a particular amino acid; and 'wobble' base-pairing, i.e. permitting non-standard base-pairing at the 3rd anti-codon position. The record is from RNAcentral. Lineage: Bacteria; Pseudomonadati; Pseudomonadota; Gammaproteobacteria; Cellvibrionales; Porticoccaceae.
GCCCAGGUGGCGAAAUUGGUAGACGCGCUAGAUUCAGGUGCUAGUACUCGCAAGGGUGUGGAGGUUCAAGUCCUCUCCUGGGCACCA